RNAcentral lists this ribosomal RNA (500 nucleotides) under uncultured bacterium. Its description in RNAcentral is "partial 16S ribosomal RNA". It matches the Rfam family "Bacterial small subunit ribosomal RNA", at positions 29 to 523 of the family's 1533-position model. The record is from RNAcentral.
AUUGAACGCUGGCGGCAUGCCUUACACAUGCAAGUCGAACGGCAGCACGGGAGCAAUCCUGGUGGCGAGUGGCGAACGGGUGAGUAAAGUAUCGGAACGUGCCCAGUCGUGGGGGAUAACGUAGCGAACGUUACGCUAAUACCGCAUACGAUCUAUGGAUGAAAGCGGGGGAUCGCAAGACCCCGCGCGAUUGGAGCGGCCGAUAUCAGAUGAGGUAGUUGGUGGGGUAAAGGCUAACCAAGCCGACGACCUGUAGCUGGUCUGGGAGGACGACCAGCCACACUGGGAAUGAGACACGGCCCAGGCUCCUACGGGAGGCAGCAGUGGGGAAUAUUGGACAAUGGGCGAAAGCCUGAUCCAGCCAUGCCGCGUGCAGGAUGAAGGCCUUCGGGUUGUAAACUGCUUUUGUACGGAUCGAAAAGGUUUGGGCUAAUAAGCUGAGCUCAUGACGGUACCGUAAGAAUAAGCACCGGCUAACUACGUGCCAGCCGCCGCGGUAA